UACGAAGGGUGCAAGCGUUAAUCGGAAUUACUGGGCGUAAAGCGUGCGCAGGCGGUUAUUUAAGUCAGGUGUGAAAGCCCUGGGCUUAACCUAGGAAUUGCGCUUGAGACUGGAUAGCUUGGAGUGCGGCAGAGGGAGGUGGAAUUCCACGUGUAGCAGUGAAAUGCGUAGAGAUGUGGAGGAACACCGAUGGCGAAGGCAGCCUCCUGGGCCAGCACUGACGCUCAUGCACGAAAGCGUGGGGAGCAAACAGG
RNAcentral lists this ribosomal RNA (254 nucleotides) under uncultured bacterium. RNAcentral's name for it is "partial 16S ribosomal RNA". It matches the Rfam family "Bacterial small subunit ribosomal RNA", at positions 524 to 776 of the family's 1533-position model. The record is from RNAcentral.